AACAACAUUUAACUCAAUCAUUGUGCAACAAUCAACAUACCAUUAAACUCGUAUUUGUGUUAGUAACAAUACAAGGAAGUCAUGCAAAAACUGACGUUAUUAAUUUUAUUUGUGGUGGCUAUAAUGGCUCAAGCCGAAGACAAUAAACCCCAAUACGAUUUGACAGAUGGACCAGCUCUGUUUGCAAAGUUUAUCAAGGAUUUCAACAAGGUAUACAAGGAUGAAGCCGACAAAGAGGUCCACUACCAAGAGUUUCUCAAAUCAUUAGAGGUCAUAAACAAAGCGAAUGCUGCAAACUCCGGUGCAACGUUCGAUAUCAAUGCACUUGCUGAUUAUACUCCUGAGCAGAGGAAGAAUUUGCACGGAGUCAGGCGAAAUAAUUAAAGGCCCACUACAGAGGACAGCAGGUUAAUUUACUAACAUUGUGUUGACUUAUACGAAAUUGAGAGUUUAUGUAACAAAUGACAUUCGGUAACUGGCAACACUUCGUGCAUAUCAUACAGUAAAAUAGCGUUAAGGAAAUAUCCAGCGAUAUAGUAUUUUUAAGUAUAAUAAAUUAUUAAAACCAUUCUACUUACUUUUUAUUAUCAUCAUCAUCACCAUCAUCAUCAACAUCGUCAUCAUCAUCAUCAUCAUCAUCAUCAUCAUCAUCAUCAUCACCAUCAUCAUCAACAUCAUCAUCAUCAUCAUCAUCAUCAUCAUCAUCAUCAUCAUCAUCAACAUCAUCAUCAUCAUCAUCAUCAUCAUCAUCAUCAUCAUCAUCAUCAUCAUCAUCAUCAUCAUCAUCAUCAUCAUCAUCAUCAUCAACAUCGUCAUCAUCAUCAUCAUCAUCAUCAUCAUCAUCAUCAUCAUCACCAUCAUCAUCAACAUCAUCAUCAUCAUCAUCAUCAUCAUCAUCAUCAUCAUCAUCAACAUCGUCAUCAUCAUCAUCAUCAUCAUCAUCAUCAUCAUCAUCACCAUCAUCAUCAACAUCAUCAUCAUCAUCAUCAUCAUCAUCAUCAUCAUCAUCAUCAUCAUCAUCAUCAUCAUCAUCAUCAUCAUCAUCAUCAUCAUCAUCAUCAUCAUCAUCAUCAUGAUGAUCAUUAGCAACCCAAUGACUCACUGUUGACCACGAGUCUUCUCUCAGAAUAAGUGGUGGAACGAGCUAUGCUAGGAGUAUCUUUGUGUGAUCGAAUCAGAAAUGAGGAGAUCCGCAGAAGAACUAAAGUUACCGACAUACCUCAACGUAUCGUGAAGCUGAAGUGGCAAUUUUCGAAGAGCCGAUGGCCGUUAGGGUCCCAAGGUGCUGGAAUGGCGGCCUCGCACCAGAAAGAGCAGUGUUGGUCGACCCCCCACCAGGUGGACUGACGACAUCAAGCGAGACGCAGGUAUUCGCUGGACAGGCAUUCGCAGGCGGCUCAGUAUCGUAAUGUAAAAGUCCCCACAAAAGGCCUAUGUCCUGCAGUGGACGUCCAUCGACUGACAUGAUGAUGAUGAUGAUGAAAUAAACAUCAAAUCAAUUGACAAAAUGUCUUCUACUUUCUGUAUGAUACACACCAGUAAGCACCGGAUGACAUUUGUUACAUAGAAUCUCAAUUUUGUAUAUGUCAACUAAACAUACGUCAAAGAUAGUGAAUUAGCCGGCUGGCCCUAGUAUAAUCUUGUUGUUCAUAAGUUUGUCAAGACAGUUUUUGUGAAGAAGUUAUCGAGUCCUUCCAAGUUAACUCGCUAGUAUAUUAGACUACAUAACAGGUGAAUUGGCAAGCUUGCACACUUAAGCUUACGAUGUGAAAUAAAAUAAAAAUAAAAACAAUAUUAACAUCAUGUGAUAUCAUAGUCAAACGUGAAUUUGUUGUAAAAAUAAACUUAAUUAUAAGGGGGUACAAACUUUAAUAUUAAAUGGUAUUAAAGUUUGUACCGCCUUCGGUUUGAUAUUAAUAAUAAAUAUAACAGUAAUACAAAAUAAAUCAUCAAAAUUACCUAAUUACUUAAAGUUUUGACGGAACCCUCUGUUCCAAGUUUUUUAUUUAUUAUUUUUAAUUGUAGGUAUGUAACGAACUCACUUUAUAAAUAUCUCAGUAUAUAAAAGAAAAACAACGCUUAAAUCGAGCAUUGUAUUUUAGUCUUCGUCAAGAUCACAUUGUUUAUUAUAGUAAUACCUAAAAACAUGCAAAAGCUAACGUGUCUAAUUUUGUUUGUGUUAGCUGUAAUGGCUCAGGCGAAUGAAGAAAAACCCCAAUACGAUCUGGCAAAUGGUCCAGCUCUGUUUGAGAAGUUUAUCAAAGACUACAACAAGGAAUACAAGGACGAAGCCGACAAAGAAGUUCACUACAAGGAGUUUCUUAAUUCUCUGAAGGUCAUAAAUGAUUCCAAUGCGGCAGACACUAACGCAACUUUCGAUAUUAAUGAAUUCGCCGACUACACUCCUGAGCAGAGGAAGAAUUUGUUCGGAGAGAGCAUCGACUAAAGGUAAAUUAGCGUUAAAGAAAUAUCCAGCGAGAAUGUAUUUUAAAAUAUAAUAAAUUUUUAAAGCAAUUCUA
RNA transcript from Bicyclus anynana (squinting bush brown), 2519 nucleotides. RefSeq lists it as uncharacterized. The transcript is spliced from 4 exons. The record is from RefSeq and is a predicted model, not a curated record. NCBI's taxonomy places the organism in Eukaryota, Metazoa, Arthropoda, Insecta, Lepidoptera, Nymphalidae.